AGAGUUUGAUCCUGGCUCAGGAUGAACGCUAGCGGCAGGCUUAAUACAUGCAAGUCGUGGGGCAGCAUGAGUAGCAAUACUUGAUGGCGACCGGCAAACGGGUGCGGAACACGUACACAACCUUCCUUUAAGUGGGGAAUAGCCCAGAGAAAUUUGGAUUAAUACCCCGUAACAUAACGAAGUGGCAUCACUUUGUUAUUAUAGCUAUGGCGCUUGAAGAUGGGUGUGCGGCUGAUUAGGUAGUUGGCGGGGUAACGGCCCACCAAGCCUGCGAUCAGUAACUGGUGUGAGAGCACGACCAGUCACACGGGCACUGAGACACGGGCCCGACUCCUACGGGAGGCAGCAGUAAGGAAUAUUGGUCAAUGGACGCAAGUCUGAACCAGCCAUGCCGCGUGAAGGAUGAAGGUCCUCUGGAUUGUAAACUUCUUUUAUUUGGGACGAAAAAAGGCCUUUCUAGGUCACUUGACGGUACCAUAUGAAUAAGCACCGGCUAACUCCGUG
Molecule: ribosomal RNA, 504 nt
Filed under: uncultured bacterium
Lineage: Bacteria
Description: bacterial SSU rRNA
Rfam family: Bacterial small subunit ribosomal RNA
Source: RNAcentral